CCGUAGUUUACAACUCCCAAACCCCUGUGAACAUACCACUUGUUGCCUCGGCGGAUCAGCCCGCUCCCGGUAAAACGGGACGGCCCGCCAGAGGACCCCUAAACUCUGUUUCUAUAUGUAACUUCUGAGUAAAACCAUAAAUAAAUCA
Molecule: unclassified non-coding RNA, 148 nt
Filed under: soil metagenome
Description: partial internal transcribed spacer 1
Source: RNAcentral